Molecule: ribosomal RNA, 468 nt
Filed under: uncultured bacterium
Lineage: Bacteria
Description: partial 16S ribosomal RNA
Rfam family: Bacterial small subunit ribosomal RNA
Source: RNAcentral
GACGAACGCUGGCGGCGUGCUUAACACAUGCAAGUCGAACGGAAAGGCCCUGCUUUUGUGGGGUGCUCGAGUGGCGAACGGGUGAGUAACACGUGAGUAACCUGCCCUUGACUUUGGGAUAACUUCAGGAAACUGGGGCUAAUACCGGAUAGGAGCUCCUGCUGCACGGUGGGGGUUGGAAAGUUUCGGCGGUUGGGGAUGGACUCGCGGCUUAUCCGCUUGUUGGUGGGGUAGUGGCUUACCAAGGCUUUGACGGGUAGCCGGCCUGAGAGGGUGACCGGGCACAUUGGGACUGCGGUACGGCCCAGACUCCUACGGGAGGCAGCAGUGGGGAAUAUUGCACAAUGGGCGGAAGCCUGAGGCAGCAACGCCGCGUGCGGGAUGACGGCCUUCGGGUUGUAAACCGCUUUCGCCUGUGACGAAGCGUGAGUGACGGUAAUGGGUAAAGAAGCACCGGCUAACUACGUG